This 699-nucleotide ribosomal RNA is filed under the name Terminalia ulexoides. RNAcentral describes it as "eukaryotic LSU rRNA". The stretch from base 1 to 102 matches the Rfam family "Eukaryotic small subunit ribosomal RNA", at positions 1730 to 1831 of the family's 1831-position model. Lineage: Eukaryota; Viridiplantae; Streptophyta; Magnoliopsida; Myrtales; Combretaceae. The record is from RNAcentral.
UCGCCGCCGACGACGUCGCGAGAAGUCCACUGAACCUUAUCAUUUAGAGGAAGGAGAAGUCGUAACAAGGUUUCCGUAGGUGAACCUGCGGAAGGAUCAUUGUCGAUACCUGCAAAGCAGAGCGACCCGCGAACCGUUUUUCAACACUCGGGAUACCGGGGGGUGUCUAGCCACUCGGUAGCCCAAGGCUCUAGAUGCUCGGGGUGGAUCCCGCCCCAAGCGGAUGGAGCUCCAAACAAAACCCCGGCGCGCGAAGCGCCAAGGUACUCCAAAAACAUGGCAUGUGCCCGUAGCCCUGGGAUCCAGUGUGCUCGGGUCGCUGUUCAAUGUCAAAAAGUCAAAACGACUCAGAAUCCCGUGAACCAUCGAGUCUUUGACCGCAAGUUGCGCCCGAAGCCUUGGCUGAGGGCACGUCUGCCUGGGUGUCACGCAUCGCGUUGCCUCCAAACCCUUCACCCCUCGAAUGUUGCGGUGAUGGUCUGGAUGCGGAAGCUGGCCUCCCGCGGCCACGAGCCACGGAUGGCCCAAAUACGUGCUAGGGAAGCGAAGCGCCACGGCAUUCGGUGGUUGAUCCAAGCCCCAGAAGCAGUGCCGGCGGUGGCCGCAUAUGUCCCUAACCUACGACCCUAAAUGCUAACCAAUGCGACCUCAGGUCAGGCGGGGCUACCCGCUGAGUUUAAGCAUAUCAAUAAGCGGAGG